This 200-nucleotide ribosomal RNA is filed under the name uncultured bacterium. RNAcentral describes it as "partial 16S ribosomal RNA". It matches the Rfam family "Bacterial small subunit ribosomal RNA", at positions 32 to 221 of the family's 1533-position model. The record is from RNAcentral.
AAUCAACGCUGGCGGCGUGCCUCAGACAUGCAAGUCGAACGAUUAAAGCUCUCUUCGGAGAGUGUAUAGAGUGGCGCACGGGUGAGUAGCACGUAAGUAAUCUACCCUCGAGUGGGGAAUAACGUUCGGAAACGAACGCUAAUACCGCAUAAUGCAGCGGCAUCGCAAGAUGACAGUUGUUAAAAGGAGUAAUUCGCUUG